Molecule: unclassified non-coding RNA, 370 nt
Filed under: fungal sp.
Lineage: Eukaryota; Fungi
Description: partial internal transcribed spacer region
Rfam family: Eukaryotic small subunit ribosomal RNA (bases 1-46)
Source: RNAcentral
AAGUCGUAACAAGGUUUCCGUAGGUGAACCUGCGGAAGGAUCAUUAUUACGUAUCCACGUAUCAAACCAAAUCGUGAACUGUUUCCCGUCUGAUGAGGAUUUCUGCGAGUGUUUGAACAUUUAUUAAAUGCAUGGUGAGGACUCCUAGUCGCAAGACUGGUUUCUUCGAAAUGGCGCUCGGUCCUGGUUGCCCUCUCGGGGCUUCAGCCAGCUCAUUAGAUGUGGUUGAAUUUCAAUCACUAUGCUAAAACUAUUAACCCCUUGUAAAACACUUGAACUAAAUUACGGAGACAAGACCCUUAACCAGGAAACUAUCUCUGAUAAACCGAAACUUAAGAAACAACUCUUAACAACGGAUAUCUUGGUUCUC